Molecule: ribosomal RNA, 460 nt
Filed under: uncultured bacterium
Lineage: Bacteria
Description: partial 16S ribosomal RNA
Rfam family: Bacterial small subunit ribosomal RNA
Source: RNAcentral
CCUACGGGAGGCAGCAGUGAGGAAUAUUGGUCAAUGGGCGGAAGCCUGAACCAGCCAAGUCGCGUGAGGGAAUAAGGCCCUACGGGUCGUAAACCUCUUUUGCCGGGGAGCAAGGGCCGGGACGAGUCCCGGUCCGGAGAGUACCAGGAGAAAAAGCAUGGGCAAACUCCGUGCCAGCAGCCGCGGUAAUACGGAGGAUGCGAGCGUUAUCCGGAUUUAUUGGGUUUAAGGGGUGCGUAGGCGGGCUUUUAAGUCAGCGGUAAAAAUUCGGGGCUCAACCCCGUCCGGCCGUUGAAACUGGGGGCCUUGAGUGGGCGAGAAGAAGGCGGAAUGCGUGGUGUAGCGGUGAAAUGCAUAGAUAUCACGCAGAACCCCGAUUGCGAAGGCAGCCUUCCGGCGCCCUACUGACGCUGAGGCACGAAAGUGCGGGGAUCGAACAGGAUUAGAUACCCCUGUAGUC